Cebus imitator (Panamanian white-faced capuchin) is the source of this 1490-nucleotide long non-coding RNA. RefSeq lists it as uncharacterized. The record is from RefSeq and is a predicted model, not a curated record. The transcript is spliced from 3 exons. NCBI's taxonomy places the organism in Eukaryota, Metazoa, Chordata, Mammalia, Primates, Cebidae.
CCACUUUACCCUUUAUUUCUUCUUUCAUCUCAACCUGCUUUUGUGGCAGCAAUUUUGUCUGGCCUGAAUAAAAUACCUUAUUCACCUUUAGGGAGAAAUGUAAUAUUCUAGUUUUGCAUAGAUUAAUCUGGAGGUGUCUGUGAAAUGUUUAAGUCAAGAAAUCAAUUAGUAUUUGGAUGUAAAAGUCUGGAUCUCAGUGAAGCCCUGGAAUGAACAUAAAAAUUUAGGUAUCAUUGGCUUAGAUGUUUUUAAAGCUCUGAAAAAUGGAUGAGAUACCCUCAGGUGAAAGUAUGGCAGGAGAAUAUAAAGAGCUAUGACUGUGUCCUGAAGAAUUUCAAGAUCUAAAUGUUGGAUGCAGGAGGCAGAUAGCCCAGGGAGAGAGAGGAAAUUCAUGGUGUUACAGAAGACAAAGAAUCCAAAACUUCCAUAAGGAAGGGCAAAAUUUUUCCCAGGUAGGAGAAGCGUUUUCCAACUUCGUUUUACAAAUGGGAAGACAGAGCCACUGAUUUCUUGACCAGCUUAGCCUUAAAUCACAUAACAAAGUUUACUAUGAUCUUCAGAUUGGUUAAACCUGUGUUCAGAUGAUUUGGCUACUGGCCUUGCUGAGGAUAUUUAAGUCAUUAAGACAUUUUGAAGGCCAAAAGAUGAUGACUUUUGGAUUUCACUUCAGGAUAAAGUAAGCCAUGAUAGAUUGAACUAAAUAAUAAAAUACUAAUCAAAAGUCUAUUCUGAAACUGCUUGAAAAAAUAACAAGCUUUACUUUCAGUUUUUCUCUGUUGAAGUCAGCAGGAACAUCACUUUGGAUUACAUGAUGCUACAAAGAAAAGCAACUGGAGCUGCUGAUAAGACACCUACUCGGAGUAAUGAUGCAUAAUGUGAAAAUGCAAUAACCCAGACCUCAUAAGUACGGACGAAUGCCAUCUUUUUAAAGGAAAUGGUUGCAAAUGUGAAGUGCAAUGUGCUGAGCCAUUUUCAAAGCUAAUACGUGUCAGAGCUGGAAGGAGGAUGCAGAUCCUUUUGAUUUCAAGUUCAAGAACACCAUUGAUGUUGGUAUCAGGGAGCUGUAUCUUCAAAACCAAUAGAUAUAUCUUAGAGGGGAAUGAGCUGAAAAGAUAAUUCUAGCUAUAAAGAUGCUAAAUCAGCUGUGUACCUCCUGGCUCUGCUUCUGCCUACUCCUUAAUUCCCACUGGGUUUGUUGCCUGAUUUAUCCCAUAGAUUCUAUGAUUCCACAUUGAAUUGAUCUUCUUCAGCAUCUGGCCCUGGCUGUGCUUCUGGUUCUUUUUUUCUUCAAGGAUCAGGUUUUUCAUCUUGUCCAUCAUCUUCUGGACCUCAAAUACAUGCCAAAGACCAGAUUUUGCCUUAGUUUAGUGACUUGAACUCUACUGAUGAUAUGAAGCAACCCUGCUCUACCUGGUAGAGAAGGAAAAUGUAAGACCUAUGGACCUUACUUUAGAAUGAACUUUUAAAAACAAAUAUACAUAUUCCCAGGA